UUCAGUGCUCCCAGUGAAGAUACAUUUCACUCACCCUCCACCCCUGCUAUGCUGUCAUGUCUUUCCCUCUGCGUAGCCAACACAUGAUUUGAAGUGACUGAUACCCAACCCAAACUUUGCUGUUCAGAAUCUUCAAUUCUUCAUAUUCUGAUGGGAAAGUAAAGUGGCGGAGAGGUGGAGGCUGGAGACUAACAUUUGUGAGAUUCGUGAGAUUCUUACUACAAAUGUAUCAUCUCAUUUCUUCCACUGAAUAACUACAAGUAUGCAAAAUAGGUUCUCUUUG
RNAcentral lists this long non-coding RNA (283 nucleotides) under Aotus nancymaae (Ma's night monkey). Its description in RNAcentral is "lncRNA (ENSANAG00000039198.1)". Lineage: Eukaryota; Metazoa; Chordata; Mammalia; Primates; Aotidae. The record is from RNAcentral.